This is a non-coding RNA of Gossypium hirsutum (cotton), 107 nucleotides long. Lineage: Eukaryota; Viridiplantae; Streptophyta; Magnoliopsida; Malvales; Malvaceae. The record is from Rfam.
AUUCCAUGAUGAGGGAACUUCUGUAAUAAUUCUUUGUACCUUUCCCAUGCCUCAUACAAGUACCUGUCAUCCAUUUGUUGGAAGGUAGUAAUUUCAUUCCACAACUU